Long non-coding RNA from Jaculus jaculus (lesser Egyptian jerboa), 895 nucleotides. RefSeq lists it as uncharacterized. The transcript has 2 exons. The record is from RefSeq and is a predicted model, not a curated record. NCBI's taxonomy places the organism in Eukaryota, Metazoa, Chordata, Mammalia, Rodentia, Dipodidae.
AGGGACAAUCCCCUGCUUGACAGGCCUUAGAUUGCUGACAGGUGGUGAUGAAAACGAAUGCAUCUUGUUGGGACGAGCAUUUCUUCAGCCCUGGGGUCCUGCGACUCCUGGGCCAGGAAGCUAAGCUGCUUGGUGGUGGGAUGGACACUGCCUUCUCCAGGUCGCUAAGGACAGCCAGGUGAUGAGUGACCUAAACAACAUUCAAUGCAUCCUGCGGAGUUCCGAUUGUAAGGAGGGUGUCUGUCUGUUUUCCCGGUUUCUAGUUCGUUCUUGUACCACAUCCUCCUUCCUUCUCAGGUGAUGGCCCGGCCAAGUUCCCAUGCCUGCAGGCUUGGCACUAGGUCCAGAAGUCUAGCCCCAGCGUGGUUUGCUGUCGCCGUCCAAAGGGUCUAAUGUCUAUAAAUUCUUACAACUCCUCUUGUUAAUCACCCACAACCCUUGUGCUUCUCUGAUCCACGUUUGAUCUAGCAGAUGGCACCUGGGGAACCAUGCAGGUUCCAUGGUCAUGCCUUGCGUAAGAGUUCACAUGCAAAUGAAUAUGGGAACUGAAGGAGUUCCAUGUCAUAAAUUCAAUAUACUACAUACAUACAUACAUACAAACAUAUGAAUACCAAGAAGUCUGAUAGGAGAAAACCUCCUGCUAUCUUGAAAUCCCCAGAGGAGCAAGAUACCUGGCUGGCCAUCUGGAAAGAAAAUAAUUCAAAGAAGUUCAAUUCCUUCACACUUGUUAAUCUUUCUCCCUCCUCCUUCUCCUUGGACAUAACCCCCUGCCCCCCGCUCCCCCCUCGCCGGCCCAAUGCUAGGGGCUGCUUCAACAUUUCCAGAGCCCAAGUGUGGAAACAUGAAGUGUCCCUUUAUGACUGACCUCCAAUAAAGGCUUCUUUUGCAAUGGUAA